This 497-nucleotide ribosomal RNA is filed under the name uncultured bacterium. Its description in RNAcentral is "partial 16S ribosomal RNA". It matches the Rfam family "Bacterial small subunit ribosomal RNA", at positions 28 to 507 of the family's 1533-position model. The record is from RNAcentral.
GAUGAACGCUGGCGGCGUGCCUAAUACAUGCAAGUCGAGCGGACGGACGGGAAGUUUGCUUCUCUGAUGUUAGCGGCGGGCGGGUGAGUAACACGUGGAAAACCUCCCUUUAAGACUGGUAUAACUUGGGGAAACCGGCGCUAACCCCGGAUAAUAUUUUGAACCGCAUGGUUCAAGAGUGAAAGACGGGCUUGCUGUCACUUAUAGAUGGAUCCGCGCUGCAGUAGCUAGUUGGUAAGGUAACGGCUUACCGAGGCGACGAUGCAUAGCCGGCCUGAGAGGGGGAGCCGCCCCACGGGGACGGAGACACGGUCCAGAAUCCUGCGGGAGGCAGCAGUAGGGCAGCUGGCACAAUGGGCGAAUACUUGACAGAGCGACGCCGCCUGAGUGAGGAAGGUCUUCGGGUCGUAAAACGCUGUUAUUAGGGAAGAACAUAUGUGUAAGUAACUGUGCACAUCUUGACGGUACCUAAUCAGAAAGCCACGGCUAACUACGUG